UCGGUUCAGGAUGAUCGGCUCGGAGUGCAUGCAGGCGUUGCAUUUCGUCAGGUAAGUGCGUGUGACUCAUAUAUACCAUUAUACCAAGUUGCAUGUUUUUGUACUCUCUCUGACGAUAAUGCAUUCAUAAAACACAUGCAGCAAUGCUGAUUACAUAUUAGUUAAUGGCUCUAUAAGGAUGCGUGAUUCCCUCGCGCACAUACGUGUUUACUCUAUGAGGUGUGUGACAGAGAAAUCUAUUUAUGGUUUUCCGUCAGUACUUGGUGAUUUUUAUUUUUUAUUUCUUUGCGAUGAGUACUUGGUGAUUUUACAGUAUUGUUACAAAGUACAACGACAUCACCCAGCACUACCUCACCUCCACUGCAUAUAUGUUUACUUGGAUCUUCAGAAAAGGGCAAGACCACCCACCCCCACCCCCAGUUUUUUGGUGCGUUUUUUGUAAGUAAGCGUGCGAUGUAUUUUUAUUUUGUUGACAGACUUACUCUUGUAAACUGCACAAAGACAGGCAGACGGAUAUACGCAGGAGAGACUUGGCCGUACGGUACAGGGCUAAUCAUCUCCUGCCCAGGAGCAAUCAUCUCCUGCUCCAAACAGCCCCGACGUGCUGCUGAGUGUUCUACCAUCCAGGAAUUGUGUGGGUUUUUGUUUCGACUCGCUUCCAAAAUAUAGUUUUGAUUCCUAUUUAUUCUGUCCCUUUUGGAUGACUGUCCUGAAAUUGAACAGUGAGUUGGAGAAUGCCGCUUCUUUCACUCUGAUUCAAUCUUGAACGGGUGCUGAUGCAGAUCAACUGAGGUAUGGAAAUCACUGCCGCAUUUUGCAGCAGUUGAUGCAUCUUGCAUCUUGCAUGUUCUGCCCACUCCGAGCCGAUCAUCCUGCAUGCACUGGUCGAAGCUGGAGUUCGGUUCAGAAGUUGGAGGUCGUGUAACUCGAUUGGUGCUCCCCCAGUGCAGCUCAUAAAAAUUUCUCUGUUUAGAUAUGCAGUGUAGAGCAUAGUUGACCGGGGAUGCUCAAGUGUAGUUUGUCUCUUUUUUCUUGAAGUAUUGUGUAGUUUGUCACUUGUGCCGUGCAGGUUUCCUUUGUCUAUGUGGAUCACUUUGUGAAAAAAUUUGUACCAAGGAGUUCACGUUUUAUUGUUUUUGGAGGAGUUGUUUUUGCAAUAUUGCAUGGACUAGUUCAUAAUCUGUUAAAAAACGAUGCCCUUCACACAGAAAACCUUGUCGGUGCACUUUGCAAAACAAAAAGGAGUUCACUAUGUAAAAAAACUUUGCAAAACAAAGGAGUUCACUAUGUAAAAAAACUUUGCAAAAACAAAGGAGUUCACUAUGUAAAAAAUUGUAUAGAGGAGUUCACUUUUUAUUAUUUUUGGAGGAAUUGUUUUUUCUGAAUUUGUAAGGACAUGGCGUAUAAUUUGUUAAAAUCGAUGCAACUCACUAAGAAAACCUUUG
This 1445-nucleotide long non-coding RNA is filed under the name Triticum aestivum (bread wheat). RNAcentral's name for it is "long non-coding RNA (TAES_LNC005800)". The record is from RNAcentral. Lineage: Eukaryota; Viridiplantae; Streptophyta; Magnoliopsida; Poales; Poaceae.